RNAcentral lists this RNase P RNA (400 nucleotides) under Loktanella sp. IMCC34160. RNAcentral describes it as "Bacterial RNase P class A". It matches the Rfam family "Bacterial RNase P class A". From Rfam's summary of the family: Ribonuclease P (RNase P) is a ubiquitous endoribonuclease, found in archaea, bacteria and eukarya as well as chloroplasts and mitochondria. Its best characterised activity is the generation of mature 5'-ends of tRNAs by cleaving the 5'-leader elements of precursor-tRNAs. Cellular RNase Ps are ribonucleoproteins. Lineage: Bacteria; Pseudomonadati; Pseudomonadota; Alphaproteobacteria; Rhodobacterales; Roseobacteraceae. The record is from Rfam by way of RNAcentral.
GCGGAUGGCCGGAUGGCCGCGGCAGGGCGCAAGCCCGGUCGAGGAAAGUCCGGACUCCAAAACGGCAAGGGUGCCGGGUAACGCCCGGCGGGGGUAACCCCAGGGAAAGCGCCACAGAGAACAGACCGCCCCGGUUUGGCCGGGGUAAGGGUGAAACGGUGGGGUAAGAGCCCACCGCGCGAUGGGCAACCAGAGCGGCACGGCAAGCCCCACCCGGAGCAAUGCCAAAUAGGGGCCUCGCGCCGGUGUGAUCGGGCAACCGAUAUCCCGGCAGGGACGCCUGACCCGAGAGGCCCGGGUUGGCAGCCAGAGGCGGCGUGGCAACACGCCGUUCAGACGAAUGGCCAUCGAACCGGGGCAACCCGGGGAACAAAAUCCGGCUUACAGGCCAUCCGCGCGU